This 450-nucleotide ribosomal RNA is filed under the name uncultured Ehrlichia sp. RNAcentral describes it as "bacterial SSU rRNA". It matches the Rfam family "Bacterial small subunit ribosomal RNA", at positions 12 to 482 of the family's 1533-position model. The record is from RNAcentral. Lineage: Bacteria; Pseudomonadati; Pseudomonadota; Alphaproteobacteria; Rickettsiales; Anaplasmataceae.
UUGGAUCAUGGUUCAGAACGAACGCUGGCGGCAAGCCUAACACAUGCAAGUCGAACGGAUAGCUACCCAUAGCUUUUUUAGCUAUAGGUUUGCUAUUAGUGGCAGACGGGUGAGUAAUGCAUAGGAAUCUACCUAGUAGUAUGGAAUAGCCAUUAGAAAUGAUGGGUAAUACUGUAUAAUCCCUGCGGGGGAAAGAUUUAUCGCUAUUAGAUGAGCCUAUGUUAGAUUAGUUAGUUGGUAAGGUAAUGGCUUACCAAGACUAUGAUCUAUAGCUGGUCUGAGAGGACGAUCAGCCACACUGGAACUGAGAUACGGUCCAGACUCCUACGGGAGGCAGCAGUGGGGAAUAUUGGACAAUGGGCGAAAGCCUGAUCCAGCUAUGCCGCGUGAGUGAAGAAGGCCUUCGGGUUGUAAAGCUCUUUCAAUAGGGAAGAUAAUGACGGUACCUAU